This 391-nucleotide ribosomal RNA is filed under the name uncultured bacterium. RNAcentral's name for it is "bacterial SSU rRNA". It matches the Rfam family "Bacterial small subunit ribosomal RNA", at positions 28 to 430 of the family's 1533-position model. The record is from RNAcentral.
GAUGAACGCUGGCGGCGUGCCUAACACAUGCAAGUCGGACGGUGCCUUCGGGCACAGUGGCGCACGGGUGAGGAACACGUAGCCAACCUGCCCUGGAGCGCGGGAUAACCCUGGGAAACGAGGGCUAAGACCGCCUACGCUCGCCGGAUGUAGAGGCCGGUGAGGAAAACCAAAAGGUGCUCUGGGAGGGGGCUGCGGCCCAUCAGGUGGUUGGUGGGGUAAUGGCCUACCAAGCCGACGACGGGUCGGGGGCUGAGAGGAUGAUCCCCCACACUGGGACUGAGACACGGCCCAGACUCCUACGGGAGGCAGCAGUGAGGAAUCUUGCACAAUGGGGGCAACCCUGAUGCAGCGACGCCGCGUGGGCGAUGAAGGUCUUCGGAUCGUAAAG